CGUCAAGAGCGUCAGCGCCAAGCCCCGGCUUGCUGACCGGCAACCCUCCUCCGCGGCGGGGUGCCCCGGGUGAAGACAUGGCUGUACGGCCCAUCCGGGCGGUAGUGGCAAGUGCGGGCC
RNAcentral lists this non-coding RNA (120 nucleotides) under Microlunatus soli. RNAcentral's name for it is "SAM-IV sequence". It matches the Rfam family "SAM (S-adenosyl methionine) riboswitch aptamer". From Rfam's summary of the family: SAM-IV is a mRNA element that regulates gene expression via direct sensing of S-adenosylmethionine (SAM or AdoMet). Lineage: Bacteria; Bacillati; Actinomycetota; Actinomycetes; Propionibacteriales; Propionibacteriaceae. The record is from Rfam by way of RNAcentral.